Molecule: ribosomal RNA, 247 nt
Filed under: uncultured bacterium
Lineage: Bacteria
Description: partial 16S ribosomal RNA
Rfam family: Bacterial small subunit ribosomal RNA
Source: RNAcentral
CGACCGGCGCACGGGUGCGUAACGCGUAUGCAACUUACCCUUAACUGGAACAUAGCCCGGGGAAACUCGGAUUAAUUUUCCAUAGCAUCCAUCUACGGCAUCGUAGAUGGAUUAAAGCUCAGGCGGUUAAGGAUGGGCAUGCGUCUGAUUAGCUUGUUGGUGAGGUAAUGGCUCACCAAGGCAAUGAUCAGUAGGGGUUCUGAGAGGAUGAUCCCCCACACUGGUACUGAGACACGGACCAGACUCC